RNAcentral lists this ribosomal RNA (253 nucleotides) under uncultured bacterium. RNAcentral describes it as "partial 16S ribosomal RNA". It matches the Rfam family "Bacterial small subunit ribosomal RNA", at positions 524 to 776 of the family's 1533-position model. The record is from RNAcentral.
UACAGAGGUCUCAAGCGUUGUUCGGAUUCAUUGGGCGUAAAGGGUGUGUAGGUGGCGCCGUAAGUCGGGUGUGAAAUUUCGGAGCUUAACCCUGAAACUGCACUUGAUACUGCUCUGCUUGAGGACUGGAGAGGAGACUGGAAUUCACGGUGUAGCAGUGAAAUGCGUAGAUAUCGUGAGGAAGACCAGUGGCGAAGGCGGGUCUCUGGACAGUUCCUGACGCUGAGGCGCGAAGGCCAGGGGAGCAAACGGG